CAGCUUUUAUUUUGGGUAUUGGUUUAGCCACUGGCGCGCCUGAUACCCAACCGGCGCCCAAUUUAAACGGGUCGCCUUCCAGAGUUUUCUAACCCCCGGUCGGCCUCCCGACCGGGGG
Molecule: small RNA, 118 nt
Filed under: Pseudomonas sp. NFACC39-1
Lineage: Bacteria; Pseudomonadati; Pseudomonadota; Gammaproteobacteria; Pseudomonadales; Pseudomonadaceae
Also listed under: 3 other names
Source: RNAcentral